Molecule: ribosomal RNA, 704 nt
Filed under: Tyrannochthonius sp. 3519
Lineage: Eukaryota; Metazoa; Arthropoda; Arachnida; Pseudoscorpiones; Chthoniidae
Description: partial large subunit ribosomal RNA
Source: RNAcentral
AUAUUAUUAAGUGGAGGAAAAGAAACCAAAAGGGAUUCCCCCMGUAGCGGCGAGCGAAAAGGGAUCAGCCCAAAGCCGAAUCCCGCGUUUUUAACGCCGGGAAAUGUGGCGUAUGGGAAAGUGGUCCAACAGCGUUCGAGGGCGGCUCAAGUUUCCAUGAACGGAGCUACCAAAGCGGGUGACAGUCCCGUACGGUCGCCUCUCGUGCUUUUAGGACUCUUUCCCGGGAGUCGGGUUGCUUGAAAGUGCAGCCCAAAGUGGGUGGUAUACUCCACCUAAGGCUAAAUAUUCCCGAGAGACCGAUAGCAAAAAAGUACCGUGAGGGAAAGUUGAAAAGAACUUUGAAGAGAGAGUUCAAUAGUACGUGAAACCGCUUAGAGGUAAACGGGUGGGCCUUCGAAGCCUGAAGGGCGCUUCAGUUGAGACUUSCUUUUCUUUUAGGAACAGCCGAACGAAACGACCUUCUUCGGCUSCCUUGAGGAACGAAAGUUUUGGCGCACUGCUACCUUCAGAGGCCGCGACUGGUUGGUCGACCGUUGGAAGGACCGCUCGGUGUCAAGGUAGCCCUCCGCUUAAUCGCGGUGGGUGUAAAAGACCCGGGCAGUAUGGCUGACGGUCGUGCCGACUCAGGACGAGAGAAACCUCGCACGACGUUCCCUCCGAAAGAGCGCRACCAGCRAKGGUUCGCGCAGGRAUUSCCAGGG